Bos taurus (domestic cattle) is the source of this 777-nucleotide long non-coding RNA. Lineage: Eukaryota; Metazoa; Chordata; Mammalia; Artiodactyla; Bovidae. The record is from Ensembl.
GUAAUAUGAGAGCACAAGUGGCCUGAGCUGGAAAUCAUUCUCCCCUCCCACCGUUGUCCUGUCUCUGAAGGUCACAUUCACAUCUCUGGAACCUCUGGAAAAUUUUUCAAAACCCCAAAAUUUUCCUAAGUGCUGACUUAGGGAGCUGGAAUUCUUGAUGAACAUUUAUAGAACUUUUCCACAGGUUUCCUAUUCAUGUGGUGAAACAAUCAAUAUGGAUGAAGUGAUCGUAUAAAGCCCUGAUUCUUGCCUCGUUACAAAAUCACCACCUCAGCUACACACACAGCCAGCACACCUGGGGCCUCACAAGGUAUCUGGGGAGAGGAGGCUGUUUAGGUUCUGGGUGUUGACUCCUAUUGCAGCUGGCUGGAAUGACGGAGCAUCUCCUGACAGGGUUCCACUUCAGCAGAAGCCACCGCUCAUAAAUUCCUCUUACGACCUUCCAGAAUUAUCCAAUGGAGAGUACUGAGUUCUUGCGGCAACUCACAUUUGGUUGGGAACACGUUAAGAAGGCAUUUGUCUGCCUAAUGACCUGCAAGCAGGAAGGAUAUUCUGUGACCUUACUUUGUUCUGUUGACCUUCCCUGGGGACGCCUCACCCGAGGACAGUGGGCGCAGAGGGUGCUGCAGAAGCUGUAUCACCUUCAUUCUCUGCUAGCUUCAUGGUCUACAUGGGACAGCCCUUCAGUCUAUUAUUUUACAGUUGUAUUUGUGCCACGGGUAUUUUUCAAGCGCUUCUUAUACCUGACUGAGGCCAUGGGCUCUGCAGGUGAGGGUU